GAGAUAUGCAAGGUACAAUUGAUCGUUUUGAAACAGAGUAUAGAAGCAUAAAAAAAGGAUGGGACUUGGGAGCAAAGGAAAAAUGGGAUCAAUUGAUUAAGAUGCGAGCAGAUACCACUCAACCUGAUGGAACUCGAAUAAUGACAGAUGAGGAAAUUUGUGCAUAAGUUCUCAAAGUCAAAUCAGGCUACAUUAAGGGCUGUGGUUUUGGCCCUAAACCAUCACCAUUAAGGUUCUCUCGUUCUUCGAUGAGUGAAA
Asparagus officinalis (garden asparagus) is the source of this 258-nucleotide long non-coding RNA. RefSeq lists it as uncharacterized. The record is from RefSeq and is a predicted model, not a curated record. Lineage: Eukaryota; Viridiplantae; Streptophyta; Magnoliopsida; Asparagales; Asparagaceae. The transcript has 2 exons.